CUCAGUCGUGUGUGUUGCUUGUGG
This 24-nucleotide non-coding RNA is filed under the name Arabidopsis thaliana (thale cress). The record is from RNAcentral. Lineage: Eukaryota; Viridiplantae; Streptophyta; Magnoliopsida; Brassicales; Brassicaceae.